Molecule: long non-coding RNA, 1511 nt
Filed under: Anas platyrhynchos platyrhynchos (common mallard)
Lineage: Eukaryota; Metazoa; Chordata; Aves; Anseriformes; Anatidae
Description: lncRNA (ENSAPLG00000023509.1)
Source: RNAcentral
UCCCGCUCCCGGUGCCGGCCCCGCGCCCGCCGCCACUUUCGGUUUCUCCCGCUCCGCCCCGGUGCGUGGCGGGGAGGCCCGGAGCCAGGGCCCGCCCGCGGCUGAAGCUGCGGCCGCCAUCUUGGAAGCGGGCACCGGGUGCCUUUGGCUCACGCUGUUCCGCCAUCUUGGGUGAGGGCGAUGCGCCUGGGGGAGGCCAUUUUGGAGAGGGGCGCGGCCCGGCCCGGUGACGCCCGCCCGGCCGGGUGGCGGCCAUGUUGGGUGCGGGCAGGCUGCGAGGGGGACCCCGCGGCCGCCAUUUUGAGAGGGGCGCGGGGGGGGGGGGGGGGGGGGGGGGCCCCCGGGGCGGCCCUUUGGGGGGGGGGGGGGGGGGGGGGGGGGGCGUCUGCAGCGCCUCCGUGCUGCCAAGAAACAGAGCCCAAAGUGGCCUGAAACCCCAAAAACACAGUCACAAAACCCCAGAGUCACAGAAUCCCAAAAUCAUGGAACCCCAGAGUCACAAAAUCAUGGAAUCCCACAGUCACAGAGUCACAAAAUCGCAGAAUCCCGAAUCCCAAAAUUCCAGAACCCCAAAAUUCCAGAACCUCAGAGCCACCCAGGUUGGAGGAGACCCCAAAAUCCCCCAGUCCAGCCUCUGACCCGACCCUACCCAGCCCUGCACUGCCCCACAUCACCGAGCUCUGCAUCUAAAUGUCUCCUAAAUACCUCACCCGCCUCCCCGGGCAGCCCGUCCCAGUGCCCCACAACCCUUCCAGUAAUGAAUUUCUUCCCAAUAUCCAACCCAAACCUCCCCUGGUGCAAUUUCAGCCCAUUCCGUGAGAAAUGAAGUUGUGUUUUUGUAGUAGAGAACCAAAUUUCUGCAUUCCGGGGUGGUUGUGUAGUCAUAACGAGGAGAAACGCUACGUGACAUCGGGGGGCAUGGGGGGCAGCAGGAUGGGCAGCGAGGGGCCGGACCUGUACGAGAACCUCCAGAUCCGCUACCCCCGUGGUGAGCACCCCGACCCCACGGCUCCUCCGUGGGGCUGGGACCCCCGGGGUGCAGGUCCUGGGGGUCCCGCUCUGCCCCCGCUGAGGGUCCCUUUGCCGUCUCUCCACAGCUCUGGAUUUGGGGGCACGGCCGCCCCGAUCCCGCCGGGUUUUGGGCACUCUGCUGGCCGUGGGCUUGGUGACCCUCCUGGCCCUGGGGGCUGCCCUGGCGGCCGUGGCCACCCUGCGCGCACGGGACCGCGCGGAGCUGCGGGUGGCACGGGCAGAGCUGGAGGUGCUGGGACCCCUGCCCAGCCCCGAGGGUGAGUGUGGCUGGUGGCAGGGGGGGCGCGGGCAGGGCUGUGCCAGGCUCCUGUCCCUGCUGUCCCCCCCCCAGGCACACGGAGCCCCGGUGACAGCCCCGAGGUGGCACAGAGGCGCAGGGACGCUUUGGGUAACGUGGAGAUGUGGGGACGUGGGGACAGACCCCAUGGGGUCGGGGCAGGGCUGUGCCCCCCGUGUGCCCCCCGUGCGCCCCCCGGCCC